Molecule: transfer RNA, 84 nt
Filed under: Gemmatimonadota bacterium
Lineage: Bacteria; Pseudomonadati; Gemmatimonadota
Also listed under: 2 other names
Description: tRNA-Leu
Rfam family: tRNA
About the family: Transfer RNA (tRNA) molecules are approximately 80 nucleotides in length. Their secondary structure includes four short double-helical elements and three loops (D, anti-codon, and T loops).
Source: RNAcentral
GCCGGAGUGGUGGAACUGGUAGACGCGCUGCGUUCAGGGCGCAGUGGGCGCAAGCCCGUGCGGGUUCGAGUCCCGCCUUCGGCA